ACUCCUACGGGAGGCAGCAGUUAGGAAUAUUCGGCAAUGGGGGAAACCCUGACCGAGCGACACUGCGUGAAGGAGGAAGGCCUUAGGGUUGUAAACUUCUGAACGAGAGACGAUAAUGACGGUAUCUCGGUAAUAGCACCGGCUAACUCCGUGCCAGCAGCCGCGGUAAUACGGAGGGUGCGAGCGUUAUCCGGAAUCACUGGGCGUAAAGGGCGCGUAGGCGGUUAUGUAAGACAGGUGUGAAAUCCCCGAGCUCAACUUGGGAAUUGCACUUGUGACUGCAUAACUAGAGUGCGGCAGAGGGGGAUGGAAUUCCGCGUGUAGCAGUGAAAUGCGUAGAUAUGCGGAGGAACACCGAUGGCGAAGGCAAUCCCCUGGGCCUGCACUGACGCUCAUGCACGAAAGCGUGGGGAGCAAACAGGAUUAGAUACCCUGGUAGGUCAGU
Molecule: ribosomal RNA, 445 nt
Filed under: uncultured bacterium
Lineage: Bacteria
Description: bacterial SSU rRNA
Rfam family: Bacterial small subunit ribosomal RNA
Source: RNAcentral